GACGAACGCUGGCGGCGUGCUUAACACAUGCAAGUCGAACGGAAAGGCCCUUCGGGGUACUCGAGUGGCGAACGGGUGAGUAACACGUGGGUGAUCUGCCCUGCACUUUGGGAUAAGCCUGGGAAACUGGGUCUAAUACCGAAUAGGACCACGCGCUUCAUGGUGUGUGGUGGAAAGCUUUUGCGGUGUGGGAUGGGCCCGCGGCCUAUCAGCUUGUUGGUGGGGUAAUGGCCUACCAAGGCGACGACGGGUAGCCGGCCUGAGAGGGUGACCGGCCACACUGGGACUGAGAUACGGCCCAGACUCCUACGGGAGGCAGCAGUGAGGAAUAUUGCACAAUGGGCGGAAGCAGGAUGCAGCGACGCCGCGUGGGGGAUGACGGCCUUCGGGUUGUAAAACUCUUUCACCAGGGACGAAGCGUAAGUGACGGUACCUGGAGAAGAAGCACCGGCCAACUACGU
Molecule: ribosomal RNA, 461 nt
Filed under: uncultured bacterium
Lineage: Bacteria
Description: partial 16S ribosomal RNA
Rfam family: Bacterial small subunit ribosomal RNA
Source: RNAcentral